GUGAGGGAGGAGUUGAUCGGAGUAGGUAGGUGAGAGGAUAUAGAGCAUCUAAAGAGGACAAGAGGGAGGAUAGCAGAGUGGAGGAGGCUUCCUCAGUGGACAUUAGUGAAAAUUGGUCUGUAGAUGGUAGUGAGGAAAGAACAGUAGAGGAGAGAGCAGAGGGAGAGAGGGAUUUCAGAUUGCAGCGGGUGGUAACCGUGUGAUGGUGACCAAUGUUGAGUUUGAAAGGAAGUG
Molecule: unclassified non-coding RNA, 234 nt
Filed under: Hevea brasiliensis (rubber tree)
Lineage: Eukaryota; Viridiplantae; Streptophyta; Magnoliopsida; Malpighiales; Euphorbiaceae
Source: RNAcentral